CCCUUAGAUGUUCUGGGCCGCACGCGUGCUACACUGAGUGGAUCAGCGGGUCAGGUUGCGCGAAAGCGUUUCCUAAUCUUUAAAUCCGCUCGUGAUGGGGAUUGACGGUUGCAAUUUUCUGUCAUGAACGAGGAAUACCUUGUAAGCGCGGGUCAUCAUCCCGCGCUGAAUACGUCCCUGCCCUUUGUACACACCGCCCGUCGCUCCUACCGAUUGGAUGGUCCGGUGAAGCCUCGGGAUUGUGGUUCUUGACGCUUUAUUGUGGCGUGACCGCGAGAACUUGUCUAAACCUUAUCAUCUAGAGGAAGGUGAAGUCGUAACA
RNAcentral lists this ribosomal RNA (322 nucleotides) under uncultured eukaryote. RNAcentral describes it as "partial 18S ribosomal RNA". It matches the Rfam family "Eukaryotic small subunit ribosomal RNA", at positions 1470 to 1796 of the family's 1831-position model. The record is from RNAcentral.